UUGUUUAAUACAUCUGAAAAGAAUGCAUAUACAAAGAAUUGAGACACGAGAAAGCAUUGGUUCAACACUAAUGAAACUACAAAAAUUAGGAUUUGGGGAGGGUGGAGAAUAUUACCUAAACAUGUUUAACAAUGUUGGAAACUGCAACCAAAAUAAGCUGAUAAAAUCCCUAUUAACACUUAUGAAGAGUCUUCAUAAGACUCUCUCCAUGGUUUUGAUUAAACUAGAGCCUCAACUGGCUGCUCUAGGGUUCCUCAUGCAAAACAGAAAGAAGGGGACUCCCCUGACUGGUCCCCAUGCUGUUAAAUGUUCUCCCCACCCCCACCCCACCCCUAGCUUCUUAAUGAAGCGGGUCUCCAUCCUCAUAACUUGAAGAGGAUGUGAAUCAUUCCACAGACAUCUGUCUUCUAGCACCCCUCAUAUAUACCAGGUCUUCGGCUGUGUUCUAGGAACACCAUACCAUACACUAUUAAGCUGCACAUCUAUGCUAAGCAUAUAAAACAAGGACUGACAAGGAAAAAAAUUUUUUAAUUAUGUACUUAAUCCAUUUGGUAUAUUUCAAAAGGUGCAAUAUUUUCUUCAUUUAUCAGUGAAAGAAGUUAGACAUUAACUUCAAAAAUAAAAUCAGCAAACGGCUAACAAAUUUCCUUGAAAGUCAGUCACGUAUAUAGUGCAUCCUAGAAAAGAGGAGGGGCAAGACAGGUUCCACCCACUUUCAUGAGUUUCAUCAAAUACUGAACCUACUCAAGGGUGGAGAGAAAAA
Long non-coding RNA from Myotis daubentonii (Daubenton's bat), 763 nucleotides. RefSeq lists it as uncharacterized. The record is from RefSeq and is a predicted model, not a curated record. Lineage: Eukaryota; Metazoa; Chordata; Mammalia; Chiroptera; Vespertilionidae.